Clupea harengus (Atlantic herring) is the source of this 1396-nucleotide long non-coding RNA. The record is from Ensembl. NCBI's taxonomy places the organism in Eukaryota, Metazoa, Chordata, Actinopteri, Clupeiformes, Clupeidae.
CGUGCUUUUACUUUGUUUCUCUUUCAGUCUUUUAUGUUACUUCCUGUCUGCCAUUGUUUCCUUCCUGUGUCUAGUCCUUGUGCUUCCUCACGGCAAAUGUUAAUGAAGAGGCUCUUAAGUCACUGUCAAAAGAAGAUCUGCGGGACCUUUUCCCAGGGCCCGAACAUUUUCUCAGGAGAAAAUCUAUUUGGGAGGUGGUCCACCCUGUGUUUGAACUCUUCAAGCGAUUACACAAAAGAUUGCAGAACAUCAGGACCCCAAAGAAACCCCAAGGGCCUAAACCAAAAGGGGGGAAAAAGAGACACCUUCAUUUUGAAGAAAGCGAUGAAGAUGAUUUUGCCUCCAGCUCAUCCACCGUUAUUAUGUCGCCAAGUUCCAGCAGCCACAUCAGCAGCUCCCCAGAAAGGGAAGGGGUUCACCAACCCAUAAGCAGCACACCAAUGAAGCAGGCGGAUGUUGUUGAAGGCCAGCAGGAUGGCAGGAUACUUCAGGCACGACACUACAAGACUCUUCAACAGUUAUGUCAAAAACCCAGACAGAAUAAGGAUGCCAUGAAACAGAUCCUUGACCUCGAGUUUGAGGGAAGAAGGGCAUUUAUUGAUUCAGAUACGCUGAAGGAAUGUGACCGGCCGGCAAAAAUGUCGACGUUUACCCAUGCUUCAAAGAAAUCGACCAUGUAAGUGCCCUCACAUUUCUACAUAGUGUAUGAAGUUGAACAGUGAGAGAUGAAAGGAGGGAUGCAACAACAUUGACCCAUACUGUGAUAUUGUAUCAAACCAGUCACACAGUCAUAUUUGAAAUAUAAGUUACUACUUUAAGGUCUGUUCUUUGUGUUUGUGCGUGCGUGAAUGUUUUCUUUUUUUUUUUUAAGGUCCUAGAGGAACUUAAACGAAUUUUGGACAACAGCAACCCAAACUAUGUGGCAGAGAUGCGACAGCGGUUGCUUGAAUUUAAAACUAAAGCAACUUUUUAUGGGGUGUUCAGGAAAGUCAUGAAACCGCCAAUGAAACUUUCUGCCGGAAAGGCCUGCAGUUCAGAAUAUAUAUUCAAUUCAAUUUAUUGUUUAAAGUGUAGUAUCACCAUGAACUUGGUCUCAGAAUACUGAUUCACAAUUGAAUAAAUGAAAUAAGAUUAUAGUUACAUAGGCAAAUCAUUAAUCAUCACUAGGUGGCGGGCCAAAGUCUGGGUUACUGCAUAUUAAGACGCUGCAAUAGGUGCACUCGCAACAACUAGGCCUACAUGGAGAAUGGAUAGGUCUACUACAAAUAACUAAUGAUAAUAAACCAUGUGAAUGAGCCCAUUGGUUGUCUGUUUGAAUAAUUUAAUUAUUUUAACGAACUCUGUCUUAUGCCCUGUCAAUAUAGCCUUGCCUAUUGUGAAUAAUAGCAAUGACGAC